GCGGCCGAGCGCCAGCGCGUGGCUGGAACACCUCCUUCGUGAGUAACACGUGGGCAACCUGCCCUGCACUCUGGGAUAAGCCCGGGAAACUGGGUCUAAUACCGGAUACGACCUUCCAUCGCAUGGUGGGGGGUGGAAAGUUCCGGCGGUGCAGGAUGGGCCCGCGGCCUAUCAGCUUGUUGGUGGGGUAAUGGCCUACCAAGGCGACGACGGGUAGCCGGCCUGAAAGGGCGACCGGCCACACUGGGACUGAAACACGGCCCAAACUCCUACGGGAGGCAGCAGUGGGGAAUAUUGCGCAAUGGGCGAAAGCCUGACGCAGCGACGCCGCGUGAGGGAUGACGGCCUUCGGGUUGUAAACCUCUUUCAGCAGGGAAGAAGCGCAAGUGACGGUACCUGCAGAAGAAGCACCGGCUAACUACGUGCCAGCAGCCGCGGUAAUACGUAGGGUGCGAGCGUUGUCCGGAAUUAUUGGGCGUAAAGAGCUCGUAGGCGGCUUGUCACGUCGGAUGUGAAAACCCGGGGCUCAACCCCGGGCCUGCAUUCUAUACGGGCAGGCUAGAGUUCGGCAGGCGAGACUGGAAUUCCUGGUGUAGCGGUGAAAUGCGCAGAUAUCAGGA
This 620-nucleotide ribosomal RNA is filed under the name Streptomyces sp. ANA2811. RNAcentral's name for it is "bacterial SSU rRNA". It matches the Rfam family "Bacterial small subunit ribosomal RNA", at positions 68 to 702 of the family's 1533-position model. The record is from RNAcentral. Lineage: Bacteria; Bacillati; Actinomycetota; Actinomycetes; Kitasatosporales; Streptomycetaceae.